GACGAACGCUGGCGGCGUGCUUAACACAUGCAAGUCGAACGGAAAGGCCUCUUUCGGGGGGUACUCGAGUGGCGAACGGGUGAGUAACACGUGAGUAACCUGCCCUUGACUUUGGGAUAACUUCAGAAAACUGGGGCUAAUACCGGAUAGGAGCUCCUGCUGCAUGGUGGGGGUUGGAAAGAUUCGGCGGGUGGGGAUGGACUCGCGGCUUAUCAGCUUGUUGGUGGGGUAGUGGCUUACCAAGGCUUUGACGGGUAGCCGGCCUGAGAGGGUGACCGGCCACAUUGGGACUGGGAUACGGCCCAGACUCCUACGGGAGGCAGCAGUGGGGAAUAUUGCACAAUGGGUGGAAGCCUGAUGCAGCAACGCCGUGUGCGGGAUGACGGCCUUCGGGUUGUAAACCGCUUUCGCUCAUGACGAAGCUUUGUGUGACGGUAGUGGGUAAAGAAGCACCGGCUAACUACGUG
This 467-nucleotide ribosomal RNA is filed under the name uncultured bacterium. RNAcentral describes it as "partial 16S ribosomal RNA". It matches the Rfam family "Bacterial small subunit ribosomal RNA", at positions 28 to 507 of the family's 1533-position model. The record is from RNAcentral.